CUACGGGCUGCAGCAGUGGGGAAUAUUGGACAAUGGGCGAAAGCCUGAUCCAGCAAUACCGCGUGUGUGAAGAAGGCCUGAGGGUUGUAAAGCACUUUCAAUAGGGAGGAACACCUAGGGGUUAAUAGCCCGUAGACUGACAUUACCUAUAGAAGAAGCACCGGCUAACUCCGUGCCAGCAGCCGCGGUAAUACGGAGGGUGCAAGCGUUAAUCGGAAUUACUGGGCGUAAAGCGUACGUAGGCGGUUGAUUAAGUUAGAUGUGAAAGCCCCGGGCUUAACCUGGGAACUGCAUUUAAAACUGGUCAACUAGAGUUGAGUAGAGGGGAGUGGAAUUUCAGGUGUAGCGGUGAAAUGCGUAGAGAUCUGAAGGAACACCAGUGGCGAAGGCGGCUCCCUGGACUCAAACUGACGCUGAGGUACGAAAGCGUGGGUAGCAAACGGGAUUAGAUACCCCCGUAGUC
Molecule: ribosomal RNA, 463 nt
Filed under: uncultured bacterium
Lineage: Bacteria
Description: partial 16S ribosomal RNA
Rfam family: Bacterial small subunit ribosomal RNA
Source: RNAcentral